This 103-nucleotide ribosomal RNA is filed under the name uncultured bacterium. Its description in RNAcentral is "partial 16S ribosomal RNA". It matches the Rfam family "Bacterial small subunit ribosomal RNA", at positions 1380 to 1482 of the family's 1533-position model. The record is from RNAcentral.
CUUGUACACACCGCCCGUCACACCAUGGGAGCGGGUUCUGCCAGAAGUAGUUAGCCUAACCGCAAGGAGGGCGACUACCACGGCAGGGUUCGUGACUGGGGUG